AAGGGAGCUUGCUCCCUCGAUUCAGCGGCGGACGGGUGAGUAAUGCCUAGGAAUCUGCCUGGUAGUGGGGGACAACGUUUCGAAAGGAACGCUAAUACCGCAUACGUCCUACGGGAGAAAGCAGGGGACCUUCGGGCCUUGCGCUAUCAGAUGAGCCUAGGUCGGAUUAGCUAGUUGGUGAGGUAAUGGCUCACCAAGGCUGCGAUCCGUAACUGGUCUGAGAGGAUGAUCAGUCACACUGGAACUGAGACACGGUCCAGACUCCUACGGGAGGGCAGCAGUGGGGAAUAUUGGACAAUGGGCGAAAGCCUGAUCCAGCCAUGCCGCGUGUGUGAAGAAGGUCUUCGGAUUGUAAAGCACUUUAAGUUGGGAGGAAGGGCAGUAAGUUAAUACCUUGCUGUUUUGACGUUACCGACAGAAUAAGCACCGGCUAACUUCGUGCCAGCAGCCGCGGUAAUACGAAGGGUGCAAGCGUUAAUCGGAAUUACUGGGCGUAAAGCGCGCGUAGGUGGUUUGUUAAGUUGGAAGUGAAAGCCCCGGGCUCAACCUGGGAACUGCUUUCAAAACUGGCAAGCUAGAGUAUGGCAGAGGGUGGUGGAAUUUCCUGUGUAGCGGUGAAAUGCGUAGAUAUAGGAAGGAACACCAGUGGCGAAGGCGACCACCUGGGCUAAUACUGACACUGAGGUGCGAAAGCCGUGGGGAGCAAAACAGGAUUAGAUACCCUGGUAGUCCACGCCGUAAACGAUGUCGACUAGCCGUUGGGAUCCUUGAGAUCUAAGUGGCGCAGCUAACGCAUUAAAGUCGACCGCCUGGGGAGUACGGCCGCAAGGUUAAAACUCAAAUGAAUUGACGGGGGCCCGCACAAGCGGUGGAGCAUGUGGUUUAAUUCGAAGCAACGCGAAGAACCUUACCAGGCCUUGACAUGCAGAGAACUUUCCAGAGAUGGAUUGGUGGCUUCGGGAGCUCUGACACAGGUGCUGCAUGGCUGUCGUCAGCUCGUGUCGUGAGAUGUUGGGUUAAGUCCCGUAACGAGCGCAACCCUUGUCCUUAGUUACCAGCACGUAAUGGUGGGCACUCUAAGGAGACUGCCGGUGACAAACCGGAGGAAGGUGGGGAUGACGUCAAGUCAUCAUGGGCCUUACGGCCUGGGCUACACACGUGCUACAAUGGUCGGUACAAAGGGUUGCCAAGCCGCGAGGUGGAGCUAAUCCCAUAAAUCCGAUCGUAGUCCGGAUCGCAGUCUGCAACUCGACUGCGUGAAGUCGGAAUCGCUAGUAAUCGUGAAUCAGAAUGUCACGGUGAAUACGUUCCCGGGCCUUGUACACACCGCCCGUCACACCAUGGGAGUGGGUUGCUCCAGAAGUAGCUAGUCUAACCUUCGGGAGG
This 1386-nucleotide ribosomal RNA is filed under the name Pseudomonas sp. BM6. RNAcentral's name for it is "16S ribosomal RNA". It matches the Rfam family "Bacterial small subunit ribosomal RNA", at positions 72 to 1449 of the family's 1533-position model. The record is from RNAcentral. Lineage: Bacteria; Pseudomonadati; Pseudomonadota; Gammaproteobacteria; Pseudomonadales; Pseudomonadaceae.